CAAAGGCCUAUUGGCUUCUUCUCUUGCCAACUAGACAUUGUGGCUAGAGGAACCCCCUCUUGCCUCCGAGCUGUUUUUGCCGCUCAGGAACUCAUCAACCACACUGGGGACCUGGUUCUUGGCCACCCUCUGACUGUUUUGGCACCUCAUGAUAUUUCUGCCAUAUUUAACCAGGUCCAACUCAAACAUGUCACCCCUGCCAGGCACCUUCGUCUCCAAUGUCAUCUCCUGUUACCUGACAAUGUUACCCUUCAAAGAUGUCAGGUUCUGAAUCCGUCCACUCUUCUGCCACUCCCUGAGGGGGGUAGCUACUAUGGAUUUAUCAUGGAUGAAGGCUAUGUCCUACUUCUUACCCACACCAUUAAAAAGAUGCACCUCAAUUUACCCGCCUGUGACGGGCCAGAAUAUGCCUUCUGUACCAUGUGGUACAAGCCAAC
Non-coding RNA from Pelobates cultripes (western spadefoot toad), 437 nucleotides. The record is from the annotation of a GenBank genome assembly. NCBI's taxonomy places the organism in Eukaryota, Metazoa, Chordata, Amphibia, Anura, Pelobatidae.